Molecule: long non-coding RNA, 2061 nt
Organism: Ricinus communis (castor bean)
Lineage: Eukaryota; Viridiplantae; Streptophyta; Magnoliopsida; Malpighiales; Euphorbiaceae
Exons: 3
Source: RefSeq, a predicted model, not a curated record
UUUUUCUUUUAUAUGUAGAAUCACUUCUGCUUCAAGCUCUACUAAUUUUGAAAGUUCAGAGAUAAUGAAAAUAGGAAAUACUAAAGAAAUUAUAAUAGAAAAUUUUAGAAAAUAAAUAGAUGAUUGAAAAAUAUUCAAAAUACUAAGGACGACAAAAAAUUACCUAAAAUUAUGAAAAGCGCGCUUUGCUUUCUGAAAGGAGGCGUUGGGCCUCCAACGGCUCCAGCCACGUGGCUAUGAUGGGAUGGUUGAUAUCUCAAGAGUUACUGACAUCGCAUUAAUUGCAAAAACUACAUCCGCGCCAUAAUAACGCCCUCAUGCUUGCCUUAUUUGCGCCAAGAAGCGCCCUCGCGCUAUCUUCUGCCAAUUUCAGUCUCAAGCUCUAAGAUGAAGCGCCCUCGCGCUUCUUGAAGCUUUGACACUUUGACUGCCAGGUGUCAUGAUGCAAUUGGUGAGAUGUCAGGUGAACUUUUCAACAUAUUUGUAAAAUUUUGGUCAUACGAAAAGCGCCCUCGCGCUUUUUGGGUGUUCUUACAAGACUUGCUUUAAAGCUUAAGGAUCUUAUGUCUUUUCUUGGUUCCUUUAGUGCUAUGUCAUAUAGACACUCAAACAUGAGAUUACCAAUGUUCAAUUUGGAUAUUAAGUUCAAAAUAGAGAUCAGUUGCACCUUAGCUCAACACCUAACUCUCUUCUAAAUUCUUUUAUCCUUCUUGAAGUUCUUGUAUGUAUCAUACCUCAAUUUAUUUCCACAAUUUGAGGUGACCAAUUCCACCCCCUUCUUAGAUCCAAGAGACAACAAGUGGUAUCAAAGCUAAAACACUCUUCUCAGUUCUACCUCCAUUGAUGCCUACAUUGUCUGGUACACCAUUUACAGUUAGAUUCGCAUCCCAUAGCGAUUCUGGGUCGACAUAUAGUCGCCUACGAGUGCACUUGCGCAAUAAUGUGUAAGCAAUAUGUAAUUUAUUUUAUAAUGUAUCUGUUUUAUAAAUAUUUAUUUAUUUAUUCAUAUGCACUAACAUGUAUUAUGUUUUAUAUGUUUUGUUGCAAGUUGUAGCCAUCUAGGUCUUCCUCAUGCAAGAUUUGGAAGAUUUUGAGGAGAAGAUAGACGCAAAAGGGAUCAGUGCUUGUGGGAGGAAGUGGUGAUGCCCUUCGAGAGGCGUGGAAAUAGAAAGCUACAACUCAAUGUCGUGAUAUGAUAUGCGAGCUAAAGAGGGGGGCAAGAAGUUGGAGAUUGUGGAACCAGAAGCUUCGAAGAGAUGGCAACAUGAAUAGAACACGCUUAAAGCUAAGCGGAUAUCGGAGCAGUAUUCUCAGAAUCCGUUGUCACACACUUCUAAUGGCUUUGGACCAUCUAUGCAUACAGGAGGCACAGCUACCCAUCAUGAGCAUGGGAAACGAGUUAUAACUUUUAUUAUUUGAAUUUCUCUAAUACAAUAUAUAUUUUGAUCACUUAUAUUCACUUUCUAUUAAUCAUGCGCAAUCACUAGGACGCCCACCUAUUGCUCCAAAGUUGUUUCUACACACCCACACCAAAAAGGGUGACGACCAGACUUUUGUAGACUCGAAGUCUAAAGCUGUUCAUGAUACGUAUCAGACGAGGAGAGAGCAGCUUACACAAACUUCUGAACCAUGGAUGACAAUUCUUUAUUUGUUAAGGUUGUCGGCAGCGAAAAGAAGAGUCGAGUCUGCGGUCUCGGCUCGCAGGCUUCUGAGUUUUAUCAUUGCGGUUUUGCCUCUUCUUCAGUGACAUACCAUCUUAGUGGUAGUAUAGGUUCUACCGAGCUUCAAGACUUGAAAAUGAGGGUGUCUGAGUAGAAUGUGCAGUUGUAGGAACAGAAUUUGCAGAUUCAGAAGCAGAAUAUGCAUAUUCAAGACUUAUAGUAGCAUUUGCAAGACCUUGCCCGUCAGAUCUAAGAGAUACGCUCAGGUUAGCCUCAGCCUCAACCUCAGCCCUUUCCCCAAUCUCCUAAUGACGAUGAGUCACCACUCAUUAAUUUAUUUUUGACAUUUAGACUGUAUUACAACUUUCAACACUAUUUUUUUAUAUCAUUGUAAUAUUUA